This 465-nucleotide ribosomal RNA is filed under the name uncultured bacterium. RNAcentral's name for it is "partial 16S ribosomal RNA". It matches the Rfam family "Bacterial small subunit ribosomal RNA", at positions 28 to 507 of the family's 1533-position model. The record is from RNAcentral.
GACGAACGCUGGCGGCGUGCUUAACACAUGCAAGUCGAACGGAAAGGCCCUGCUUGCAGGGUACUCGAGUGGCGAACGGGUGAGUAACACGUGGGUGAUCUGCCCUGCACUUCGGGAUAAGCCUGGGAAACUGGGUCUAAUACCGGAUAGGAGCCAUUUUUAGUGUGAUGGUUGGAAAGUUUUUUCGGUGUAGGAUGAGCUCGCGGCCUAUCAGCUUGUUGGUGGGGUAAUGGCCUACCAAGGCGGCGACGGGUAGCCGGCCUGAGAGGGUGGACGGCCACAUUGGGACUGAGGUACGGCCCAGACUCCGACGGGAGGCAGGAGUGGGGAAUAUUGCACAAUGGGCGCAAGCCUGAUGCAGCGACGCCGCGUGGGGGAUGACGGCCUUCGGGUUGUAAACUCCUUUCGCUAGGGACGAAGCUUUUUGUGACGGUACCUAGAUAAGAAGCACCGGCUAACUACGUG